UGUAUUGUCAACGACUCCUUCAUAUUACCAUGAUAUAUGAAUAUGAUAUGUAAUAUGAAGGAGUCGUUGGUAUUGUG
This 77-nucleotide microRNA precursor is filed under the name Phlebotomus papatasi. RNAcentral's name for it is "mir-1 microRNA precursor family". It matches the Rfam family "mir-1 microRNA precursor family". From Rfam's summary of the family: This family represents the microRNA (miRNA) mir-1 family. miRNAs are transcribed as ~70nt precursors (modelled here) and subsequently processed by the Dicer enzyme to give a ~22nt product. In this case the mature sequence comes from the 3' arm of the precursor. Lineage: Eukaryota; Metazoa; Arthropoda; Insecta; Diptera; Psychodidae. The record is from RNAcentral.